AAGUGGAGCAAUCCAUGAGUAAAGUGGCGACCGGGUGAGUAACACGUGACUAACCUACCUUCGAGUGGGGAAUAACCUCGGGAAACCGGGGCUAAUACCGCAUAAUGUCUUCGGACCAAAGGAGCAAUUCGCUGGAAGAGGGGGUCGCGGCCGAUUAGCUAGUUGGCGGGGUAACGGCCCACCAAGGCAAUGAUCGGUAGCCGGCCUGAGAGGGCGCACGGCCACACUGGAACUGAAACACGGUCCAGACUCCUACGGGAGGCAGCAGUGGGGAAUUUUGCGCAAUGGGGGAAACCCUGACGCAGCAACGCCGCGUGGAGGAUGAAGCCCCUUGGG
RNAcentral lists this ribosomal RNA (336 nucleotides) under uncultured bacterium. Its description in RNAcentral is "bacterial SSU rRNA". It matches the Rfam family "Bacterial small subunit ribosomal RNA", at positions 72 to 422 of the family's 1533-position model. The record is from RNAcentral.